GUUCCAAGAGACAAUCCCUAUCUUUUCUCCAGAUUAAAUGCUCUUACUCCAUUAUCUGGCAGUCGAGCUAUGCAUGAAUUGGUUCGAGAAUGCCCGGGACUGCAGAGGCCUGAAAGGAUAACAACAACCUUAUUGAGAAAAUACAUUGCUACAGUGUCACAGAUUCUUGACAUGACUCAUGGUGAACUAAAAUUGCUUGCAAAGCAUCUGGGACAUGAUGUGAAGACACACAAGGAAUAUUAUCAGUUGUCUUCCAGUACCAUGGAACUCUCAAAGGUUGCCCUGAUGUUGUAUGCUGUUGAAAAUGGUAAGUCAAUGAGUGGAAGGGAAGGCAGAUGAAGGACAUAGUAGUAGAAGAUUUACCUCUUCCAAUUGAAGACGAAGAUGGCCAUCAAGAAGAGUCCAUGUCAACUGCUGACAGUGAAGAGCCAGGCAGUCUGACCCAUGAGAGGAGGGAGCCAAGUGAAGAGCCAGCCAGUCUGACCCAUGAUAGGAGGGAGCCAAGUGGAAGAGCCAGCCAGUCUGACCCAUGAGUCCAUGUCAACUGCUGCCAGUGAAGGGCCCAGCCAGUCUGACCCAUGAUGAAAUGAGGCAGCCAAAUCCUCAAGGGACAGGGACAAGAAAAGGAAUGAAACGAAAGUGGGCCAGCGAAGAGAACAUAUGUUUCAUGAACUUUUUUAGAGAUGAAUUAAGAGAAAAAAUAAUGCCAUCUGGCUCAAAAAUAAUGGGGUCCCUAAAAAUACUUACCGGAAGAACAGUGGCCCAGAUAAGGGCAAGGGUCCAUAACAUUAUUAUGAAAAAACAAAAAUGGAAAAAGAAUUGUUGAACUGUGGAAUAUGUUUAUGCCCCUGGUAGGGUGGCAUAUAGCAGUUGAACUGUCCGUCAGUCAGUCAGUCUGUCCAUCUGGCCGAAAACUUAUAUGGCCAUAACUUUUUCAAUAUUGAACAUAGCAACUUGAUAUUUAUACCCCUAUUACAAUUGGUAAUGGGGGCUAUAUAGGAGUCACGUUUGUCGGUCUGUCCCGAUAUUUCAUCCGAUCUUCACCAAACUUGGUCAGUAGUUGUAUGUAGAUAAUGUCUAGGUCAGUUUGAAUAUGGGUCAUGCCAGGUCAAAAACUAGGUCAUGGGGUCACUUAGUAUGUUUUAAACUGUAAGUUUGUACGGACCAUAGCUAUGUCAUUUAUUGUUACAUUUUUAAAUGACUCGGUACAUUUGUUCACCAUCAUGGAACGGUGUGUCGCGUUAAAAAAAAUUACGUCAAUAUCUCAAAGGUCAAGGUCACACUUGGGAGUUCAAAGGUCAAAUGCUUGUCCGGGCCAUAGCUUUGUUUUUUAUUGUGAGAUUUUAAAAUCAUUUGGCACAUUUGUUCACCAUCAUUGAACAGUGUGUCGGGCGAAAGAAUUACGUCGAUAUUUCCAAGAACAAGGGCACAAUUUGAGUUUAAAGGUAAAAAAUGGCCAUAAUUGAGCUUGUCUGGGCAAUAACUAUGUUGUUUAUUGUGCGAUUUUAAAAUCGUUGGCUCUUUUGUUCACCAUCAUUUGACGGUGUGUCGCGCGAAAGAAUUAUGUCGAUAUCUCCAAGGUCAAGUUCGUAGUUUUAGUUCAAAGGUCAAAAAUGGCAAUAAAUUAUCUUGUCUGGGCCAUAAAUAUGUCAUUCAUUGUAAGAUUUUAAAAUGACUGUACAUCAAUUUUGUUCAAAGUCAUUGGAAGGCUUGUCAUGUGAAAGAAUUCAAGAGUUCAAAGGUCAAAAUGGCUAUAAAUGAUAAUGGCAUAAUGAUUCUU
Long non-coding RNA from Dreissena polymorpha, 1780 nucleotides. RefSeq lists it as uncharacterized. The transcript has 7 exons. The record is from RefSeq and is a predicted model, not a curated record. NCBI's taxonomy places the organism in Eukaryota, Metazoa, Mollusca, Bivalvia, Myida, Dreissenidae.